Molecule: ribosomal RNA, 497 nt
Filed under: uncultured bacterium
Lineage: Bacteria
Description: partial 16S ribosomal RNA
Rfam family: Bacterial small subunit ribosomal RNA
Source: RNAcentral
GACGAACGCUGGCGGCGUGCCUAAUACAUGCAAGUAGAACGCUGAAGAGAGGAGCUUGCUCUUCUUGGAUGAGUUGCGAACGGGUGAGUAACGCGUAGGUAACCUGCCUGGUAGCGGGGGAUAACUAUUGGAAACGAUAGCUAAUACCGCAUGAAAUUGCUUAUCGCAUGAUAAUUGAUUGAAAUAUGCAAUUGCAUCACUACCAGAUGGACCUGCGUUGUAUUAGCUAGUUGGUGAGGUAACGGCUCACCAAGGCGACGAUACAUAGCCGACCUGAGAGGGUGAUCGGCCACACUGGGACUGAGACACGGCCCAGACUCCUACGGGAGGCAGCAGUAGGGAAUCUUCGGCAAUGGGGGGAACCCUGACCGAGCAACGCCGCGUGAGUGAAGAAGGUUUUCGGAUCGUAAAGCUCUGUUGUAAGAGAAGAACGGGUGUGAGAGUGGAAAGUUCACACUGUGACGGUAUCUUACCAGAAAGGGACGGCUAACUACGUG